UCAAAUCUCAAAUUAAAUUUUAUUUACGAAGCCACUAGGGUUAGGGAUAAUUUUCACUCUUAUUUUGGUUGAUCCAGGGUUAGGGUUCCUAUUUCGCUAUCAUUGGUUCGUCUAGGUAGAAAGUGCAGAAAUUUAAAUAGAUGGUGUUUUUAGUAAUCUAUGUUUCUGUUUCUCCUAAAAAUUGCGAAUUAUUAUUAAAAAAAUUGUAGGUCACAAGAGUCCGAUUGAAGAAUUUUAUUCUCCCACAAGAGCAUCGACCUUUAUAUUUCAGGAUGUAAAGGAGCAGCAAUAUGGAUAUGCAUCAAGUUUCUCAUACCAUGCCUCCAGUUAUAAUAGCCUGAUGGUGCUUGGAGAAUGGAGAUAUCAGGUGUUUAGCCUUAGAGAAGAUGUUUUAGAGAUCAGAUCACCCACAAAUCAGAACUUGAUUUCCUCUUUUGGAUUAAUGAUAAAGGUGUACACAUAAUACUUUGCUCGGUGAAAUGAAAGCAGAUUUAAUAUGAGAUUAUGUGGCAGUUGGGAGUCAGAUUUUACUUGGUUUCUCUUUAAAUCAAUCGGACAUAGAGCACAUGACUGGCUAAAUAGAAUGAAGAAGAUUUUUAAGGUAGUUUCCCAUAUUCCUUAGUUGCAACCAUGGGUACUGUGUCAAGAUGGUAUCAAAGGUUUCUUCUGUGGGCCGCGCCAUACUGUGCAGGGAGGUUCUUUUUUAUGUUGUUGGCAUGAGACUCUUAUGUCAGUUUAUAAAGAGGUGUACAAGUAUGAUGACUAUGACAGCUAACAAUUCGAGUUUAAUUCUCAUA
Papaver somniferum (opium poppy) is the source of this 797-nucleotide long non-coding RNA. RefSeq lists it as uncharacterized. The record is from RefSeq and is a predicted model, not a curated record. NCBI's taxonomy places the organism in Eukaryota, Viridiplantae, Streptophyta, Magnoliopsida, Ranunculales, Papaveraceae. The transcript has 3 exons.